This 687-nucleotide long non-coding RNA is filed under the name Gallus gallus (chicken). Its description in RNAcentral is "lncRNA (ENSGALG00010000424.1)". The record is from RNAcentral. Lineage: Eukaryota; Metazoa; Chordata; Aves; Galliformes; Phasianidae.
CAGUCAAUGGGGUCAGUGGGUUUUAUGGGGUCAGUCAAUGGGGUCAGUGGGGCGUAUGGGGUCGAUCAAUGGGGUCAGUGGGAUCUGUGGGGUCAGUGGGGCAAUCAGUGGGGUCAGUGGGAUCUAUGGGGUCAGUGGGGUCUAUGGGGUCAGUCAAUGGGGUCAGUGGGGUGUACGGGGUCAAUCAAUGGGGUCAGUGGGAUCUGUGGGGUCAGUGGGGCGUAUGGGGUCAGUCAAUGGGGUCAGUGGGGUGUAUGGGGUCAGUCAUGGGGUCAGUGGGGUGUAUGGGGUCAGUCAAUGGGGUCAGUGGGGUGUAUGGGUGUGAUCUAUGGGGUCAGUGGGGUGUAUGGGGUCAAUCAAUGGGGUCAGUCAGUGGGGUCAGUGGGAUCUAUGGGGUCAGUGGGAUCUAUGGGGUCAGUCAAUGGGGUCAGUGGGGUGUAUGGGGUCAAUCAGUGGGGUCAGUGGGAUCUAUGGGGUCAGUGGGGCAAUCAGUGGGGUCAGUGGGGUGUAUGGGGUCAGUCAGUGGGGUCAGUGGGGCAAUCAGUGGGGUGUAUGGGGUCAGUGGGGUCUAUGGGGCCAAUCAAUGGGGUCAGUGGGUUUUAUGGGGUCAAUCAGUGGGGUCAGUGGGAUCUAUGGGGUCAGUCAGUGGGGUCAUGGGGGUGUAUGGGGUCAGUGGGGUCUAUGGGG